CAGCAGCGGCACCGGCGGUGGCUGCGGUGUGGGUGGCCGGAACUGGGGUGGUGAAGAAGCGGUGGUGGCGGCUGAAGGAGCGGUAGCAGCCUCAGCCUCUUUCCCUGUGCUUCCUUUCCUCUUUAGUGCAGCGAGGAAGUUUUCGCUUCUGUACAUGUGUUUGUGUGCGUGAGUGUGGGUGUGUGCGGUGAGGUUUGGGUGGCGUUUGUGCAGGCGUUGGGUUUUUUGCCCACUUGGCUUCCCGUAACCCAGGCAGCUGGGGAGCCUGGGCUGUGGCCCUAGGAGGGGGCGCGGCGGCGGGCUCUCUCCUUUUGUUGUUGUUUCCUCAGCCUGGGGAGCUGAAGGGGAGACGCGUCUGGGUGGGGCUGCUCGGAGCCCGGGCCUGGUGGCCCCUGGGGCUCCCGGGCGGGCAGGGUAGGGCAGAGUAGAGCGGGCUUCAACAUGAUGGCGGCCGAGGCCGGCAGUGAGGAGGGCGGCCCGGUAACAGCCGGAGCUGGAGGAGGCGGCGCGGCAGCGGGCUCCAGUGCCUAUCCCGCAGUGUGUCGGGUGAAGAUACCCGCGGCCCUGCCUGUGGCAGCCGCCCCCUAUCCUGGGCUGGUGGAGACCGGAGUGGCUGGAACUCUGGGUGGCGGAGCCGCUUUGGGGUCAGAGUUCCUAGGAGCCGGGUCUGUGGCAGGGGCACUGGGGGGAGCUGGACUGACAGGGGGAGGUACUGCUGCUGGCGUAGCUGGUGCUGCUGCUGGCGUGGCCGGUGCUGCUGUUGC
This 764-nucleotide long non-coding RNA is filed under the name Homo sapiens (human). RNAcentral's name for it is "long non-coding RNA NONHSAT102588.2". Lineage: Eukaryota; Metazoa; Chordata; Mammalia; Primates; Hominidae. The record is from RNAcentral.